RNAcentral lists this ribosomal RNA (248 nucleotides) under Strophosoma melanogrammum. RNAcentral describes it as "partial large subunit ribosomal RNA". The stretch from base 1 to 169 matches the Rfam family "Bacterial large subunit ribosomal RNA", at positions 2475 to 2643 of the family's 2925-position model. The record is from RNAcentral. Lineage: Eukaryota; Metazoa; Arthropoda; Insecta; Coleoptera; Curculionidae.
AUACAGCGUAAUUUUUUUAAAGAGUUCUAAUCGAAAAAAAAGAUUGCGACCUCGAUGUUGGAUUAAAAUAAAAUUUUGGUGUAGAAGCUAGAAUAUUUAGGUCUGUUCGACCUUUAAAAUUUUACAUGAUCUGAGUUUAGACCGGCGUGAGCCAGGUUGGUUUCUAUCUCUAUUUAAAUAUAAUUUUUUAGUACGAAAGGACCAAAAAUUAAAUUUAAAAAUUUAUUUUAAGAAUUAUAUUAAAUUUU